This 496-nucleotide ribosomal RNA is filed under the name uncultured bacterium. Its description in RNAcentral is "partial 16S ribosomal RNA". It matches the Rfam family "Bacterial small subunit ribosomal RNA", at positions 28 to 506 of the family's 1533-position model. The record is from RNAcentral.
GAUGAACGCUGGCGGCGUGCCUAAUACAUGCAAGUCGAGCGAACGGACGAGAAGCUUGCUUUUCUGAUGUUAGCGGCGGACGGGUGAGUAACACGUGGAUAACCUACCUAUAAGACUGGGAUAACUUCGGGAAACCGGAGCUAAUACCGGAUAAUAUUUUGAACCGCAUGGUUCAAAAGUGAAAGACGGUCUUGCUGUCACUUAUAGAUGGAUCCGCGCUGCAUUAGCUAGUUGGUAAGGUAACGGCUUACCAAGGCAACGAUGCAUAGCCGACCUGAGAGGGGGAUCGGCCACACUGGAACUGAGACACGGUCCAGCCUCCUACGGGAGGCAGCAGUAGGGAAUCUUCCGCAAUGGGCGAAAGCCUGACGGAGCAACGCCGCGUGAGUGAUGAAGGUCUUCGGAUCGUAAAACUCUGUUAUUAGGGAAGAACAUAUGUGUAAGUAACUGUGCACAUCUUGACGGUACCUAAGCAGAAAGCCACGGCUAACUACGU